UUUUUUAUAGACUGUUGUUGUCCUUCCUCAUUUUCUCCACAUUUUUAGUAGAUGGAAGAGACAGGAUACAAGGGAGGAUUCACAAAUAAGUAUCCCACUCCCAAGUCCACAGUCACUUAAAUCGCAUUUCCACUCCAAUCUGAUAAUUAGUCAGUAAAACAACAGAACAUAAAGCUAUAUGAAUAUAACCCCGGUUCUCUGAUGGAGACCGGUGUGGAAAAUGUUCACUCUCACGCUGUAUAAUUGCUUCUCUCUCUCACUCACACACACUAGAGUCAUUCCUUUCACUUGAGUGGUAGGUCACUCAAUGCAGGGUAGCAGCACUGUGGUAUUCUGUGGAUGAAACAAUUUAAUCCUGCAUGUUUGCCUCCACAGCCCAAGAGGAAUGUGGACACCUAUUGACAUUGUAGUGACAAAACCUCUCACAGUCUGCAUUAGCAGGUGAACUUUGCUUCGGGUCUGCUUGCACAAUAAUGUGGUAUGGGUGAGGUGUAGGCUGUAGAAGCUGAGUUUCUUGUGGAUGUGUGUUUGUUACUAGUCCUCUUGUACAUGUAUGUGAGAAUUAAAUUACUGUUUUUCUGUC
Molecule: long non-coding RNA, 583 nt
Organism: Alosa alosa (allis shad)
Lineage: Eukaryota; Metazoa; Chordata; Actinopteri; Clupeiformes; Clupeidae
Exons: 2
Source: RefSeq, a predicted model, not a curated record